AUCAGCAUGCCGCGUGAGUGAUGAAGGCCUUAGGGUUGUAAAGCUCUUUUACCCGGGAUGAUAAUGACAGUACCGGGAGAAUAAGCUCCGGCUAACUCCGUGCCAGCAGCCGCGGUAAUACGGAGGGAGCUAGCGUUGUUCGGAAUUACUGGGCGUAAAGCGCGCGUAGGCGGUUUUUUAAGUCAGAGGUGAAAGCCCGGGGCUCAACCCCGGAACUGCCUUUGAAACUGGAAAGCUUGAAUCUUGGAGAGGUGAGUGGAAUUCCGAGUGUAGAGGUGAAAUUCGUAGAUAUUCGGAAGAACACCAGUGGCGAAGGCGACUGACUGGACCAGUAUUGACGCUGAGGUGCGAAAGCGUGGGGAGCAAACAGGAUUAAAUACCCUGGUAGUCCACGCCGUAAACGAUGAUAACUAGCUGUCCGGGUUCAUA
Molecule: ribosomal RNA, 429 nt
Filed under: uncultured bacterium
Lineage: Bacteria
Description: bacterial SSU rRNA
Rfam family: Bacterial small subunit ribosomal RNA
Source: RNAcentral